CCCGAGAGGGCAGUACAUGGCUCAAGAGACUCAUCCGAAUGAUGUUCACCAUGAACAAGCCAAUGCCAUGACCACCUUAAGAAGCGGACGCGUAGUGGACAAUAAGGUUGGAGAAAAAGAACAUAAGAAAAAUGAAGAUAGGAGUAUGACUAUGCCUAAAGAGAUCCCAAACUCCUCUAUGUCACCAUCAAACCCAGUAUCGACCACACCUUUUCCACCGAAGGC
RNAcentral lists this long non-coding RNA (225 nucleotides) under Phoenix dactylifera (date palm). Its description in RNAcentral is "long non-coding RNA (PDAC_LNC009870)". Lineage: Eukaryota; Viridiplantae; Streptophyta; Magnoliopsida; Arecales; Arecaceae. The record is from RNAcentral.